GGAGAGGUACCGAAGCGGUCAUAACGGCACCGACUCGAAAUCGGUUGGGCUUUAACUAGCCACAAGGGUUCGAAUCCCUUCCUCUCCGCCA
This 91-nucleotide transfer RNA is filed under the name Chloroflexota bacterium. RNAcentral describes it as "Chloroflexi bacterium tRNA-Ser". It matches the Rfam family "tRNA". From Rfam's summary of the family: Transfer RNA (tRNA) molecules are approximately 80 nucleotides in length. Their secondary structure includes four short double-helical elements and three loops (D, anti-codon, and T loops). Lineage: Bacteria; Bacillati; Chloroflexota. The record is from RNAcentral.